RNAcentral lists this non-coding RNA (29 nucleotides) under Rattus norvegicus (Norway rat). Lineage: Eukaryota; Metazoa; Chordata; Mammalia; Rodentia; Muridae. The record is from RNAcentral.
UGGGAAGCACAGCUUAAGGCUUCUCUAGC